This 484-nucleotide ribosomal RNA is filed under the name uncultured bacterium. RNAcentral's name for it is "partial 16S ribosomal RNA". It matches the Rfam family "Bacterial small subunit ribosomal RNA", at positions 30 to 507 of the family's 1533-position model. The record is from RNAcentral.
AUUGAACGCUGGCGGCAGGCCUAACACAUGCAAGUCGAGCGGAUGAAGGGAGCUUGCUCCUGGAUUCAGCGGCGGACGGGUGAGUAAUGCCUAGGAAUCUGCCUGGUAGUGGGGGAUAACGUCCGGAAACGGGCGCUAAUACCGCAUACGUCCUGAGGGAGAAAGUGGGGGAUCUUCGGACCUCACGCUAUCAGAUGAGCCUAGGUCGGAUUAGCUAGUUGGUGGGUUAAAGGCCUACCAAGGCGACGAUCCGUAACUGGUCUGAGAGGAUGAUCAGUCACACUGGAACUGAGACACGGUCCAGACUCCUACGGGAGGCAGCAGUGGGGAAUAUUGGACAAUGGGCGAAAGCCUGAUCCAGCCAGGCCGCGUGUGUGAAGAAGGUCUUCGGAUUGUAAAGCACUUUAAGUUGGGAGGAAGGGCAGUAAGUUAAUACCUUGCUGUUUUGACGUUACCAACAGAAUAAGCACCGGCUAACUUCGUG